UCCCAGCGGUCCAAGUCGCAGCCGCAUUUAUUGGGUCUAAAAUAUCCGUAGCUUGCUGAGUAAGUCUCUUGUGAAAUCCGGCAUCUUAAGUGUCGGGCGGGCAAGAGAUACUGCUUAGCUAGAGACCGGGGACGUAAAGAGUACAUUUGGGGUAGCGUAAAAUGCGUUGAUCCCAUAUGGACUAACAAUAGCGAAGGCAC
RNAcentral lists this ribosomal RNA (200 nucleotides) under uncultured bacterium. RNAcentral's name for it is "partial 16S ribosomal RNA". It matches the Rfam family "Archaeal small subunit ribosomal RNA", at positions 474 to 675 of the family's 1478-position model. The record is from RNAcentral.